This 253-nucleotide ribosomal RNA is filed under the name uncultured bacterium. RNAcentral describes it as "partial 16S ribosomal RNA". It matches the Rfam family "Bacterial small subunit ribosomal RNA", at positions 524 to 776 of the family's 1533-position model. The record is from RNAcentral.
UACGAAGGGGGCUAGCGUUGUUCGGAAUUACUGGGCGUAAAGCGCACGUAGGCGGAUCGAUCAGUCAGGGGUGAAAUCCCAGAGCUCAACUCUGGAACUGCCUUUGAUACUGUCGAUCUGGAGUAUGGAAGAGGUGAGUGGAAUUCCGAGUGUAGAGGUGAAAUUCGUAGAUAUUCGGAGGAACACCAGUGGCGAAGGCGGCUCACUGGUCCGGUACUGACGCUGAGGUGCGAAAGCGUGGGGAGCAAACAGG